Molecule: ribosomal RNA, 464 nt
Filed under: uncultured Enterobacter sp.
Lineage: Bacteria; Pseudomonadati; Pseudomonadota; Gammaproteobacteria; Enterobacterales; Enterobacteriaceae
Description: bacterial SSU rRNA
Rfam family: Bacterial small subunit ribosomal RNA
Source: RNAcentral
GCGGUAGCACAGAGAGCUUGCUCUCGGGUGACGAGCGGCGGACGGGUGAGUAAUGUCUGGGAAACUGCCUGAUGGAGGGGGAUAACUACUGGAAACGGUAGCUAAUACCGCAUAACGUCGCAAGACCAAAGAGGGGGACCUUCGGGCCUCUUGCCAUCAGAUGUGCCCAGAUGGGAUUAGCUAGUAGGUGGGGUAACGGCUCACCUAGGCGACGAUCCCUAGCUGGUCUGAGAGGAUGACCAGCCACACUGGAACUGAGACACGGUCCAGACUCCUACGGGAGGCAGCAGUGGGGAAUAUUGCACAAUGGGCGCAAGCCUGAUGCAGCCAUGCCGCGUGUAUGAAGAAGGCCUUCGGGUUGUAAAGUACUUUCAGCGGGGAGGAAGGCGAUAAGGUUAAUAACCUUGUCGAUUGACGUUACCCGCAGAAGAAGCACCGGCUAACUCCGUGCCAGCAGCCGCGGU